CAAGUAUCGUCUUCAUCCGCUAGAUGCGCCACCGUUACUACUCGGAGUGCACGAAGACUGCCCAUUGUGCGCUUAUUGAUGUCGCUAAUGUCUAUGUAACCAGCAAUAGCGGAGGAGUAGUACUCCGAGUCUUGCAGGGUCUUCCUUCGAUCAAUCUCCGGUAUGCCUUUAGAGCUUCGCUCGCCAAAGGGCGUUCACAUACUGUUCCGCAAUGAGCCAUCAUCAUCCUCUGAUCCCAUGUACUACUACCUCAUCGUAUAUAUUUUUGCGACAGGGGAAUCAUUCGGCGACAAAUUAUGAACGAAGGAAACAGUUGUUGCGUAAGCAAUCUGGAUGGACAAAUACAUCUGAAUAAGGUCAAAUCGAUCAGACGUUACCCGUUCUCUCAGGAGGAAUAGCUGUCAUGUUUAUUACCAAGCCUCACAGACCUGGAGAGAUGUUAGCUUUAGUCCAGUGAAUGAAUAGAGGCGAUGAUGGGGUUCGGCCGCCCAAUAAUGAAGAAGGCUUGUGCGAACGUAUGCAUAUGCUUGGCGACGGUGAGCAUCGGUUAGUCGAGUCCUGUGGCAUACAUCGAGUCGAAUAUUUAGUUGGCCAAGAAGAGUUGUAACAACAUUGCCUGCUGCAAGUAAC
Molecule: small RNA, 630 nt
Filed under: Cryptococcus neoformans H99
Lineage: Eukaryota; Fungi; Basidiomycota; Tremellomycetes; Tremellales; Cryptococcaceae
Description: Cryptococcus neoformans var. grubii H99 hypothetical RNA
Source: RNAcentral